AGAGUUUGAUCAUGGCUCAGAUUGAACGCUGGCGGCAGGCCUAACACAUGCAAGUCGAGCGGUAGCACAGAGAGCUUGCUCUCGGGUGACGAGCGGCGGACGGGUGAGUAAUGUCUGGGAAACUGCCUGAUGGAGGGGGAUAACUACUGGAAACGGUAGCUAAUACCGCAUAAUGUCGCAAGACCAAAGUGGGGGACCUUCGGGCCUCAUGCCAUCAGAUGUGCCCAGAUGGGAUUAGCUUGUAGGUGGGGUAACGGCUCACCUAGGCGACGAUCCCUAGCUGGUCUGAGAGGAUGACCAGCCACACUGGAACUGAGACACGGUCCAGACUCCUACGGGAGGCAGCAGUGGGGAAUAUUGCACAAUGGGCGCAAGCCUGAUGCAGCCAUGCCGCGUGUGUGAAGAAGGCCUUCGGGUUGUAAAGCACUUUCAGCGGGGAGGAAGGCGUUAAGGUUAAUAACCUUGGCGAUUGACGUUACCCGCAGAAGAAGCACCGGCUAACUCCGUGCCAGCAGCCGCGGUAAUACGGAGGGUGCAAGCGUUAAUCGGAAUUACUGGGCGUAAAGCGCACGCAGGCGGUCUGUCAAGUCGGAUGUGAAAUCCCCGGGCUUAACCUGGGAACUGCAUUCGAAACUGGCAGGCUAGAGUCUUGUAGAGGGGGGUAGAAUUCCAGGUGUAGCGGUGAAAUGCGUAGAGAUCUGGAGGAAUACCGGUGGCGAAGGCGGCCCCCUGGACAAAGACUGACGCUCAGGUGCGAAAGCGUGGGGAGCAAACAGGAUUAGAUACCCUGGUAGUCCACGCCGUAAACGAUGUCGAUUUGGAGGUUGUGCCCUUGAGGCGUGGCUUCCGGAGCUAACGCGUUAAAUCGACCGCCUGGGGAGUACGGCCGCAAGGUUAAAACUCAAAUGAAUUGACGGGGGCCCGCACAAGCGGUGGAGCAUGUGGUUUAAUUCGAUGCAACGCGAAGAACCUUACCUGGUCUUGACAUCCACAGAACUUUCCAGAGAUGGAUUGGUGCCUUCGGGAACUGUGAGACAGGUGCUGCAUGGCUGUCGUCAGCUCGUGUUGUGAAAUGUUGGGUUAAGUCCCGCAACGAGCGCAACCCUUAUCCUUUGUUGCCAGCGGUCCGGCCGGGAACUCAAAGGAGACUGCCAGUGAUAAACUGGAGGAAGGUGGGGAUGACGUCAAGUCAUCAUGGCCCUUACGACCAGGGCUACACACGUGCUACAAUGGCAUAUACAAAGAGAAGCGACCUCGCGAGAGCAAGCGGACCUCAUAAAGUAUGUCGUAGUCCGGAUUGGAGUCUGCAACUCGACUCCAUGAAGUCGGAAUCGCUAGUAAUCGUAGAUCAGAAUGCUACGGUGAAUACGUUCCCGGGCCUUGUACACACCGCCCGUCACACCAUGGGAGUGGGUUGCAAAAGAAGUAGGUAGCUUAACCUUCGGGAGGGCGCUUACCACUUUGUGAUUCAUGACUGGGGUGAAGUCGUAACAAGGUAACCGUAGGGGAACCUGCGGUUGGAUCACCU
RNAcentral lists this ribosomal RNA (1528 nucleotides) under Klebsiella pneumoniae. Its description in RNAcentral is "bacterial SSU rRNA". It matches the Rfam family "Bacterial small subunit ribosomal RNA". The record is from RNAcentral. Lineage: Bacteria; Pseudomonadati; Pseudomonadota; Gammaproteobacteria; Enterobacterales; Enterobacteriaceae.